GGGGCCUUAGUUCAGCUGGCUAGAACGCAUCAUUUGCAAUGAUGAGGUCGUGGGUUCGACUCCCACAGGCUCCA
Molecule: transfer RNA, 74 nt
Filed under: Candidatus Dojkabacteria bacterium
Lineage: Bacteria
Description: tRNA-Ala
Rfam family: tRNA
About the family: Transfer RNA (tRNA) molecules are approximately 80 nucleotides in length. Their secondary structure includes four short double-helical elements and three loops (D, anti-codon, and T loops).
Source: RNAcentral